RNAcentral lists this ribosomal RNA (686 nucleotides) under uncultured fungus. Its description in RNAcentral is "eukaryotic LSU rRNA". The stretch from base 158 to 312 matches the Rfam family "5.8S ribosomal RNA". The record is from RNAcentral. Lineage: Eukaryota; Fungi.
UGCUCCGCCCUUGCGGGUGUCGAGCGGUGCGGGCGCGGUCCGUGCGUGACCCACUUAUCAAACCACUUGUGCACCUGUCCGGGGGUGAAACCCCGUAUACACAAACAACUGAAAUGAAACGAACCUUUUGGGGCGAUAUGCCUCUUAAACAUGUAACAACUUUCAACAACGGAUCUCUUGGCUCUCGCAUCGAUGAAGAACGCAGCGAAAUGCGAUAAGUAGUGUGAAUUGCAGAAUUCAGUGAAUCAUCGAAUCUUUGAACGCACCUUGCGCCCUUUGGCUAUUCCGAAGGGCAUGCCUGUUUGAGUAUCAUGAACACCUCAACUCUCAUGGUUUUCCCAUGACGAGCUUGGACUUUGGGGGUCUUGCUGGCCUAUGGUCGGCUCCUCUUAAAUGAAUCAGCUUGCCAGUGUUUGGUGGCAUCCCAGGUGUGAUAACUAUCUACGCUUGUGGUUUUCCGUCAAGUAACCCCCAGCGAUGGAGGUUCACUGGGGCUCAUAAAGGCCUCUCCUCGGUGAGGAAUGGCUCCUUUUGAAUGUUUGAUCUCAAAUCAGGUAGGACUACCCGCUGAACUUAAGCAUAUCAAUAAGCGGAGGAAAAGAAACUAACAAGGAUUCCCCUAGUAACUGCGAGUGAAGCGGGAAGAGCUCAAAUUUAAAAUCUGGCGUGCCUCUGGUCGUCCGAGU